AACUGGUUUUAGCUUCGUUG
This 20-nucleotide microRNA is filed under the name Corchorus olitorius. RNAcentral's name for it is "crm-miR-35c-". The record is from RNAcentral. Lineage: Eukaryota; Viridiplantae; Streptophyta; Magnoliopsida; Malvales; Malvaceae.